CCUACGGGUGGCAGCAGUAGGGAAUCUUCCGCAAUGGGCGAAAGCCUGACGCAGCAACGCCGCGUGAGUGAUGAAGGUCUUCGGAUCGUAACACUCUGUUAUUAGGGAAGAACAUAUGUGUAAGUAACUGUGCACAUCUUGACGGUACCUAAUCAGAAAGCCACGGCUAACUACGUGCAAGCAGCCGCGGUAAUACGUAGGUGGCAUGCGUUAUCCGGAAUUAUUGGGCGUAAAGAGCGCGUAGGCGGUUUUUUAAGUCAGAUGUGAAAGCCGACGGCCCAACCGUGGAGGGUCAUUUGAAACUGGAAAACUUGAGUGCAGAAGAGGAAAGUGGAAUUCCAGGUGUAGCGGUGAAAUGCGUAGAGAUAAGGAAGAACACCAGUGGCGAAGGCGACUUUCUGGGCUGUAACUGACGCUGAUGCACGAAAGCGUGGGGAUCAAACAGGAUUAGAUACCCGGGUAGUC
Molecule: ribosomal RNA, 465 nt
Filed under: uncultured bacterium
Lineage: Bacteria
Description: partial 16S ribosomal RNA
Rfam family: Bacterial small subunit ribosomal RNA
Source: RNAcentral